ACAAUGAAGAGUUUGAUCCUGGCUCAGGAUGAACGCUAGCGACAGGCUUAACACAUGCAAGUCGAGGGGCAGCAUGAAGUUACUUCGGUAACUUUGAUGGCGACCGGCGCACGGGUGCGUAACGCGUAUGCAACCUACCCAUAACUCUUGGAUAGCCCAUGGAAACGUGGAUUAAUACAGGAU
RNAcentral lists this ribosomal RNA (183 nucleotides) under Marinifilaceae bacterium. Its description in RNAcentral is "partial 16S ribosomal RNA". It matches the Rfam family "Bacterial small subunit ribosomal RNA", at positions 1 to 174 of the family's 1533-position model. The record is from RNAcentral. Lineage: Bacteria; Pseudomonadati; Bacteroidota; Bacteroidia; Marinilabiliales; Marinifilaceae.